CCUACGGGUGGCAGCAGUGGGGAAUAUUGGACAAUGGGCGAAAGCCUGAUCCAGCCAUGCCGCGUGUGUGAAGAAGGCCUUCGGGUUGUAAAGCACUUUCAGUGGGGAAGAAAGCCUUGGGGCUAAUACCCUCGAGGAAGGACAUCACCCACAGAAGAAGCACCGGCUAACUCCGUGCCAGCAGCCGCGGUAAUACGGAGGGUGCGAGCGUUAAUCGGAAUUACUGGGCGUAAAGCGCGCGUAGGCGGUCUGAUAAGCCGGUUGUGAAAGCCCCGGGCUCAACCUGGGAACGGCAUCCGGAACUGUCAGGCUAGAGUGCAGGAGAGGAAGGUAGAAUUCCCUGUGUAGCGGUGAAAUGCGUAGAGAUCGGGAGGAAUACCAGUGGCGAAGGCGGCCUUCUGGACUGACACUGACGCUGAGGUGCGAAAGCGUGGGUAGCAAACAGGAUUAGAUACCCUAGUAGUC
RNAcentral lists this ribosomal RNA (465 nucleotides) under Vreelandella stevensii. RNAcentral's name for it is "partial 16S ribosomal RNA". It matches the Rfam family "Bacterial small subunit ribosomal RNA", at positions 338 to 795 of the family's 1533-position model. Lineage: Bacteria; Pseudomonadati; Pseudomonadota; Gammaproteobacteria; Oceanospirillales; Halomonadaceae. The record is from RNAcentral.